Non-coding RNA from Xylariales sp. AK1849, 81 nucleotides. The record is from the annotation of a GenBank genome assembly. Lineage: Eukaryota; Fungi; Ascomycota; Sordariomycetes; Xylariales.
GCCCGGUUAGCUCAAUCGGUAGAGCGUGAGACUCUUAAAAAAGUAAUCUCAAGGUUGCGGGUUCGACCCCCGCAUCGGGCU